This 82-nucleotide transfer RNA is filed under the name Saccharicrinis carchari. It matches the Rfam family "tRNA". From Rfam's summary of the family: Transfer RNA (tRNA) molecules are approximately 80 nucleotides in length. The record is from Rfam by way of RNAcentral. Lineage: Bacteria; Pseudomonadati; Bacteroidota; Bacteroidia; Marinilabiliales; Marinilabiliaceae.
GCCCAGAUGGCGGAAUAGGUAGACGCGCUGGUCUCAAACACCAGUGGGGCAACCCGUGCCGGUUCGAUUCCGGCUCUGGGUA